Molecule: ribosomal RNA, 373 nt
Filed under: uncultured bacterium
Lineage: Bacteria
Description: bacterial SSU rRNA
Rfam family: Bacterial small subunit ribosomal RNA
Source: RNAcentral
UAAUACGGAGGGUGCAAGCGUUAUCCGGAUUCACUGGGUUUAAAGGGUGCGUAGGCGGACCUGUAAGUCAGUGGUGAAAUCUCUAGGCUUAACCUAGAAACUGCCGUUGAUACUAUAGGUCUUGAAUGUUGUGGAGGUUAGCGGAAUAUGUCAUGUAGCGGUGAAAUGCAUAGAUAUGACAUAGAACACCAAUUGCGAAGGCAGCUGGCUACACAAAUAUUGACGCUGAGGCACGAAAGCGUGGGGAUCAAACAGGAUUAGAUACCCUGGUAGUCCACGCCCUAAACGAUGGAUACUCGACAUUUGCGAUAUACAGUAAGUGUCUGAGCGAAAGCAUUAAGUAUCCCACCUGGGAAGUACGACCGCAAGGUUG